ACACUCACAGUUGAUGCCCAACUCCCAUUCUUCUUCCUCCAUCCUGUGUCACCAUCUUUCUUCCCGGAGGAAACAGCACCAACAUUUCUGCUCUCUAAUGGACUCGCACAGGAUAUGUAGCUGCUAAUUAAGGUACCACUAUCCUUGUUCCGCUACCUCAUAUUAAUUGCUUCAACUUAUAGUUCUAAAAACUCGCAACUUUGUGAGCAAGCACUAGUUACGCGCAAACAUACAACUGACUAAGAGAUGCUCUUCUAGGUGCUUGCAAGUGGAGGAGGCGUGGAUGGGUUAGAUUAUUUGAGCCUGGAGCUUAUUCCGUUUGUUGGGCACCUGGGCCUUGAUUCAGAAACUCAUCAUGGACAGGCGUGGAUGG
RNAcentral lists this long non-coding RNA (373 nucleotides) under Triticum aestivum (bread wheat). RNAcentral's name for it is "long non-coding RNA (TAES_LNC009530)". The record is from RNAcentral. Lineage: Eukaryota; Viridiplantae; Streptophyta; Magnoliopsida; Poales; Poaceae.